This 1368-nucleotide ribosomal RNA is filed under the name uncultured bacterium. RNAcentral's name for it is "bacterial SSU rRNA". It matches the Rfam family "Bacterial small subunit ribosomal RNA", at positions 28 to 1381 of the family's 1533-position model. The record is from RNAcentral.
GACGAACGCUGGCGGCGUGCCUAAUACAUGCAAGUAGAACGCUGAAGAGAGGAGCUUGCUCUUCUUGGAUGAGUUGCGAACGGGUGAGUAACGCGUAGGUAACCUGCCUUGUAGCGGGGGAUAACUAUUGGAAACGAUAGCUAAUACCGCAUAACAAUGGAUGACACAUGUCAUUUAUUUGAAAGGGGCAAUUGCUCCACUACAAGAUGGACCUGCGUUGUAUUAGCUAGUAGGUGAGGUAAUGGCUCACCUAGGCGACGAUACAUAGCCGACCUGAGAGGGUGAUCGGCCACACUGGGACUGAGACACGGCCCAGACUCCUACGGGAGGCAGCAGUAGGGAAUCUUCGGCAAUGGGGGCAACCCUGACCGAGCAACGCCGCGUGAGUGAAGAAGGUUUUCGGAUCGUAAAGCUCUGUUGUAAGUCAAGAACGGGUGUGAGAGUGGAAAGUUCACACUGUGACGGUAGCUUACCAGAAAGGGACGGCUAACUACGUGCCAGCAGCCGCGGUAAUACGUAGGUCCCGAGCGUUGUCCGGAUUUAUUGGGCGUAAAGCGAGCGCAGCGGUUUGAUAAGUCUGAAGUUAAAGGCUGUGGCUCAACCAUAGUUCGCUUUGGAAACUGUCAAACUUGAGUGCAGAAGGGGAGAGUGGAAUUCCAUGUGUAGCGGUGAAAUGCGUAGAUAUAUGGAGGAACACCGGUGGCGAAAGCGGCUCUCUGGUCUGUAACUGACGCUGAGGCUCGAAAGCGUGGGGAGCGAACAGGAUUAGAUACCCUGGUAGUCCACGCCGUAAACGAUGAGUGCUAGGUGUUGGAUCCUUUCCGGGAUUCAGUGCCGCAGCUAACGCAUUAAGCACUCCGCCUGGGGAGUACGACCGCAAGGUUGAAACUCAAAGGAAUUGACGGGGGCCCGCACAAGCGGUGGAGCAUGUGGUUUAAUUCGAAGCAACGCGAAGAACCUUACCAGGUCUUGACAUCCCGAUGCUAUUUCUAGAGAUAGAAAGUUACUUCGGUACAUCGGUGACAGGUGGUGCAUGGUUGUCGUCAGCUCGUGUCGUGAGAUGUUGGGUUAAGUCCCGCAACGAGCGCAACCCCUAUUGUUAGUUGCCAUCAUUCAGUUGGGCACUCUAGCGAGACUGCCGGUAAUAAACCGGAGGAAGGUGGGGAUGACGUCAAAUCAUCAUGCCCCUUAUGACCUGGGCUACACACGUGCUACAAUGGUUGGUACAACGAGUUGCGAGUCGGUGACGGCGAGCUAAUCUCUUAAAGCCAAUCUCAGUUCGGAUUGUAGGCUGCAACUCGCCUACAUGAAGUCGGAAUCGCUAGUAAUCGCGGAUCAGCACGCCGCGGUGAAUACGUUCCCGGGCCU